Molecule: ribosomal RNA, 453 nt
Filed under: Triticum aestivum (bread wheat)
Lineage: Eukaryota; Viridiplantae; Streptophyta; Magnoliopsida; Poales; Poaceae
Description: partial small subunit ribosomal RNA
Source: RNAcentral
AUGUGGCGCGCGGAAGGGAAGGGGGAGAAAUCAUGGGGACCUCGGCGUGGAUCUGGCACGGCACGGAGCCGGGUGUCUCGUCGUCGUCGGCGUCGCGUCGUCUGUGGACUUGGAGGCAUGGGGCGCUUUCGCGUGGGGCCCGCGGCGGUAUCGGUAUCGGGGAGGCGAUUACGUACGGGACAGUUGGAGGUGUUGACCCGGUCCCCAUACGCAGCACGUAAACGGGUGGGGUCUCGCGCGCAGCUGUGGCCUCGUCUUGCUGCCGCCUGCCGUCUCUGGGACGGUCACCACCGUCCACCGGCUUCGGCUUUGGCUUUGCUUGCUCGCGCGCUUGCGGUCGGACUUUGCGGCGGGGUCUACGAGAUUUUUCGCCAAAAUACGAGAUGUGCACGAGGGGCCCUUAACUCUGAGGCGUCUUUUGUGCGAGUCGUGGAGAGGAAGUCUCCGAGGUAG